CCGCAGCUAACGCACUAAGUGCACCGCCUGGGGAGUACGGUCGCAAGACUGAAACUCAAAGGAAUUGACGGGGGCCCGCACAAGCAGUGGAGCAUGUGGUUCAAUUCGAGGCAACGCGAAGAACCUUACCCAGGCUUGACAUCCCAGGACAGCCCAUGAAAGUGGGUCUUCCCUUCGGGGGCCUGGAGACAGGUGUUGCAUGGCUGUCGUCAGCUCGUGUCGUGAGAUGUUGGGUUAAGUCCCGCAACGAGCGCAACCCUUGCCCUUAGUUACCAGCGGGAAAGCCGGNNACUCUAAGGGGACUGCCGGUGAUAAGCCGGNGGAAGGUGGNGACGACGUCAAGUCAUCACGGNCCUUACGCCUGGGGGUUACACACGUGCUACAAUGGCC
Molecule: ribosomal RNA, 390 nt
Filed under: eubacterial soil DNA clone S-24
Lineage: Bacteria
Description: bacterial SSU rRNA
Rfam family: Bacterial small subunit ribosomal RNA
Source: RNAcentral